AGAUUUGAGAGGGGCUGGAAAAUACUUCAAUUAGGGUUUUUAUUCUUUUAAUUUAGUUUAUUUAUAGAUUAUAUCAUUUAUUCAUUCAUCUUGAUUACGAUAACGUCCAUUAGUGGCUGAAUGCCCCCUUUACAGGGUUAAGGCAACGACCAUGAUUACUAUUUCUUUGAAUUGAUUUGGUUUUGAUUGAUUGUCAUAUUUGGUUUUUUAUUUAACCUUGUUAUAACUAUUUUAGGUAUUUGCGACCCUUAGAAUACAUAUAUUGUUGUCUUGUAAGCUCAAGAGGGGAAAUAAGAGGAUAGAACGUGGG
RNAcentral lists this long non-coding RNA (310 nucleotides) under Capsicum annuum. RNAcentral's name for it is "long non-coding RNA (CANN_LNC020840)". The record is from RNAcentral. Lineage: Eukaryota; Viridiplantae; Streptophyta; Magnoliopsida; Solanales; Solanaceae.